Molecule: ribosomal RNA, 290 nt
Filed under: uncultured bacterium
Lineage: Bacteria
Description: partial 16S ribosomal RNA
Rfam family: Bacterial small subunit ribosomal RNA
Source: RNAcentral
UGCCUACGGGGGGCAGCAGUGGGGGAUAUUGCACAAUGGGGGGAACCCUGAUGCAGCGACGCCGCGUGGGUGAAGGAGCGUUUCGGCGCGUAAAGCCCUAUCGGCAGGGAAGAAGAUGACGGUACCUGACCAAGAAGCCCCGGCUAACUACGUGCCAGCAGCCGCGGUAAUACGUAGGGGGCAAGCGUUAUCCGGAUUUACUGGGUGUAAAGGGAGCGUAGACGGCCAGACAAGUCUGAAGGGAAAAUCCGGCGCUUAACGUUGGAAGUGCUUUGGAAACUGCCGGGCUA